AGCGAACGCUGGCGGCAGGCUUAACACAUGCAAGUCGAGCGGGCAUCUUCGGAUGUCAGCGGCAGACGGGUGAGUAACACGUGGGAACGUACCCUUCGGUUCGGAACAACUCUGGGAAACUGGAGCUAAUACCGGAUACGCCCUUAUGGGGAAAGGUUUACUGCCGAAGGAUCGGCCCGCGUCUGAUUAGCUAGUUGGUGGGGUAACGGCCUACCAAGGCGACGAUCAGUAGCUGGUCUGAGAGGAUGAUCAGCCACACUGGGACUGAGACACGGCCCAGACUCCUACGGGAGGCAGCAGUGGGGAAUAUUGGACAAUGGGCGCAAGCCUGAUCCAGCCAUGCCGCGUGAGUGAUGAAGGCCUUAGGGUUGUAAAGCUCUUUUGGCCGGGACGAUAAUGACGGUACCGGAAGAAUAAGCCCCGGCUAACUUCGU
This 434-nucleotide ribosomal RNA is filed under the name uncultured bacterium. RNAcentral's name for it is "partial 16S ribosomal RNA". It matches the Rfam family "Bacterial small subunit ribosomal RNA", at positions 29 to 506 of the family's 1533-position model. The record is from RNAcentral.